This 254-nucleotide ribosomal RNA is filed under the name uncultured bacterium. RNAcentral describes it as "partial 16S ribosomal RNA". It matches the Rfam family "Bacterial small subunit ribosomal RNA", at positions 524 to 776 of the family's 1533-position model. The record is from RNAcentral.
UACAGAGGGUGCGAGCGUUGUCCGGAAUCACUGGGCGUAAAGGGCGCGUAGGCGGCCCGGUAAGGUUGCGGUGAAAGCCCGGGGCUCAACCCCGGGUCGGCCGUGGCAACUGCUGGGCUGGAGCACAGUAGAGGCGGGUGGAAUUCCGGGUGUAGCGGUGGAAUGCGUAGAGAUCCGGAAGAACACCGGUGGCGAAGGCGGCCCGCUGGGCUGUUGCUGACGCUGAGGCGCGACAGCGGUGGGGAGCAAACAGG